AGUGAACGCUGGCGGUAGGCCUAACACAUGCAAGUCGAGCGGCAGCACAGUGCUAGCUUGCUCUUACGGCGGGCGAGUGGCGGGCGGGGGCGAAGAACAUCCGAGUCUACUUUUUCUUAGGGGAUGACGUGGGGGCUCUUACGCCAAUCGUGCAUACGGCCUACGGGUGAAAGCAUGGGAUCUUCCGCCCUCGCGCGAUCCUAUGACGCGAGGUCGGAUUAGCUGGUUGGCGGGGUACCGGCGCACCAAGGCGACGCUCGGAAGCUGGUCUGAGAGGAGGAUCAGUCACACUGGAACUGAGACCAGGUCCAGACUCCUACGGGAGGCAGCAGUGGGGAAUAUUGGACAAUGGGCGAAAGCCUGAUCCAGCCAUGCCGCGUGUGUGAAGAAGGUCUUCGGAUUGUAAAGCACUUUAGGUUGGGAGGAAGAGCAGUAAGUUAAUACCUUGCUGUUUUGACGUUACCAAAAGAAUAAGCACGGGCUAACUUCGUG
Molecule: ribosomal RNA, 492 nt
Filed under: uncultured bacterium
Lineage: Bacteria
Description: partial 16S ribosomal RNA
Rfam family: Bacterial small subunit ribosomal RNA
Source: RNAcentral